This 253-nucleotide ribosomal RNA is filed under the name uncultured bacterium. Its description in RNAcentral is "partial 16S ribosomal RNA". It matches the Rfam family "Bacterial small subunit ribosomal RNA", at positions 524 to 776 of the family's 1533-position model. The record is from RNAcentral.
AACGUAGGACACAAGCGUUAUCCGGAGUUACUGGGCGUAAAGGGCGUGUAGGCGGAUCGGUAAGUCUACUCUGAAAGCUCCUGGCUAAACUGGGAGAGGCGAGUGGAGACUGUCGGUCUAGAGUGAGGAAGAGGAAAGUGGAAUUCCGCGUGUAGUGGUGAAAUGCGUAGAUAUUCGCAAGAACACCAGUGGCGAAGGCGGCUCACUGGCCCGGUACUGACGCUGAGGUGCGAAAGCGUGGGGAGCAAACAGG